AUUCCUGAUUGCCCGCUGUGGGUACUGUGGGAGCACGCUGCCUUCGCCAUUUUGGGUGUAGUGCCUCCUUUUGUUGCAGGCCCUUGUGUCGCUUCAGCAUUCCUGCCAGGUCACACCAGGGUCUCACGAGGGUAGACCGGGAUAACCCCCACCGGUCCAGAGGGGGGGAACGAGGGUCUGGUCUCCGCUUGUCAGCCGUGGUU
Pelobates cultripes (western spadefoot toad) is the source of this 203-nucleotide non-coding RNA. The record is from the annotation of a GenBank genome assembly. NCBI's taxonomy places the organism in Eukaryota, Metazoa, Chordata, Amphibia, Anura, Pelobatidae.